GGAGGAUCCAAGCGUUAUCCGGAUUUAUUGGGUUUAAAGGGUGCGUAGGCGGUUCGAUAAGUUGGAGGUGAAAUGUUAGGGCUUAACCCUGAAACUGCCUCCAAUACUGUUGGGCUAGAGAGUAGUUGCGGUAGGCGGAAUGUAUGGUGUAGCGGUGAAAUGCUUAGAGAUCAUACAGAACACCGAUUGCGAAGGCAGCUUACCAAACUAUAUCUGACGUUGAGGCACGAAAGCGUGGGGAGCAAACAGGAUUAGAUACCCUGGUAGUCCACGCAGUAAACGAUGAUAACUCGUUGUCGGCGAUACACAGUCGGUGACUAAGCGAAAGCGAUAAGUUAUCCACCUGGGGAGUACGUUCGCAAGAAUGAAACUCAAAGG
RNAcentral lists this ribosomal RNA (378 nucleotides) under uncultured bacterium. RNAcentral describes it as "bacterial SSU rRNA". It matches the Rfam family "Bacterial small subunit ribosomal RNA", at positions 527 to 907 of the family's 1533-position model. The record is from RNAcentral.